AGAAUAUUAUUCAGAGACAAAAAGGAAAGACAUACUGAUAUACUACAAUGUAGAUGAACCUUGAAAACAUUAUGCUGAGUGAAAGAAGCCAGUCACAAAAGACCAUACACUCUAUGAUUUCAUUCAUAUGAAAGUCCAGAAUAGGGAGGUCUCUAGAGAUGGAAACUAGACCAGUGGUUGCCUAAACUAGGGGGGGGGCAGGAAACAGGAGACAGUGAUGACAGCUAAAGGAUAUGGAAUUUUUUUUUUGAGGUGAUGAAAAUGUUCUAAAAUUGACUCUGGUGAUGCUUGCACAUAUCUGUGAAUAUACUAAAAACCAUUGACUUGCUCACUUUAAAUGGGUUAAAAGGGUAAAUUGUACAGUAUGUGAAGUAUAUCUCAAUAAGUCUGUUUUUUUUUAAAAAAAACUGUCUACAGAGUUAUGCUGUUUGGAAAAUGAGAACUGCAGUAUCUGAUGUCCUUUGGGUUUCUUUCUUCACUUGUGAGGGCGUGUUCCCUUGUGUGUUUGUUGGUCUUCACUUAUCAGCUCAUAUUUGGUUUAUCUUUAUCCCUUGAACUCCUAGGCCCUUAUGUGGGGCAUGCUCUCCUCCAGAGAUGAUUCACAUUUGCUUCAGCCAAUAGCCCAAGGACACCACUGAUCUGGGACCGAUUUGGCUCCCUUCAGGAUCUCCAGCUUCACCUGGAGCCUCAGGUUCAUCCCCUCAACUGUAAGCAGACUCAGGAGUCGGUCUCCUUGUCUCGGUGCUGAUUUAGCAUGUAAGGCAGCCUCACUCCACGUGUCUGCUCGCAACGCACCUCCCAAGUUUCAGCUCACAGCUUUGUUUGCUUGGGUUGGAUUUAUGGGCUUGAAGAUUUCCCUUAUCUCCUGAGCCCAGAAGUGCCAGAAAACUCAAGUCUUCUGCAGGAUCUAAUAAGAAGAAUCUUUGGAGAAUGUAGAUGAUAAUACCGCCCCAAAUAGAAGUCUCUCAUGCAGUUUUUUUGUUUGUUUGUUUUCGACAUCAGUAUCAACAAGAAAUGUGUUUCAUUGAAUAUGACUAAUUUGGCCUAUUAUACUUCCCUUUUCUAGCACUUAUGGGAAUAUCAGGAAUUCUAGAUUGAUCUUUCUCUCAAAGGAAAGCAUUAAGGCAUUUAAUUAACGGAAUACUAUAUGACAUACAGAGCCAAUAUAAAGUACGUGUAUCCAAACCAAGGUACUCACCAGAGCUAUCUGGGGAACUUUUAAAAAAUAUGAAUACUAGGGUUCCACUCAUGGCAAGUCUGUUUCAAUCAGUUCAGGUCUUUCUGUCAGUUCACCAACUCCAUCUGCUUUCCUAGCUCUAUAUCCAUCAUCCAAACCAAAGAUGGAAUUAUCUUCAUUCUUCAUUCUAGUAGAAACCACUUAUUUAAAAAAUUACCAUGAGAAGGGCACUGGACCAAGCACUUUGUCUGGAUUAUCUUGUAUAUUUAUCACCACAGCCUUCCAAGGGAUGUAUCAACAUUAUUCUCCCUUUACAGAUAACGAAAGUGACACUCAAUGAGGUUACUUAACUUGGUAAAUGUAUUAGCAGGGGUAAAACCUAGGCUGCUGUCACAGGGAGCCAGGAAUAAUUCAGUGGCUUAUUUCUCACGUUACAGUCUGGAGUCAGCAGAGCAGGUUGGCAGGCAACUUGGCUCCAUGUGGUCAUUCAGAAACCCAGUUCCUUCCAAUCUGUUUCUUCACCCCAUCCUAGUGCAUUGCCCUCAUCUGCAUGCUCAAAACUGACCU
Molecule: long non-coding RNA, 1744 nt
Filed under: Equus asinus (donkey)
Lineage: Eukaryota; Metazoa; Chordata; Mammalia; Perissodactyla; Equidae
Description: lncRNA (ENSEASG00005035272.1)
Source: RNAcentral